RNAcentral lists this ribosomal RNA (353 nucleotides) under Crenigomphus hartmanni. Its description in RNAcentral is "partial 12S ribosomal RNA". The record is from RNAcentral. Lineage: Eukaryota; Metazoa; Arthropoda; Insecta; Odonata; Gomphidae.
UUUAAAUGUGAAAUUUUAAACCAGGGUAGUAAUAGUUAUGUUCUUGAAACCCAAAGAAUUUGGCGGUGUUUUAGUCCUUUCAGAGGAAUCUGUCCCGUGAUCGACAUUCCACGAUAUGAUGUACUUACUUUUGUUUUCAGUUUGUAUACCUCCGUCGUAAGAGAAUCUUUUCAGAGUUAAAUUUUCUUAAUAUACUAAAUUUAUUAUGUCAGGUCAAGGUGCAAUUUAUAAGUAAGCGGAGAUGGAUUACAAUAAGUUUAUUUAAACGGAUUAGAAUAUUUAAUUUUCUAUAAAGGCGGAUUUGAUUGUAAUUUUAAUUGUUUAUUAUCAUGAUUCAUGGCUCUAAAACAUGC